Non-coding RNA from Phascolarctos cinereus (koala), 842 nucleotides. NCBI's taxonomy places the organism in Eukaryota, Metazoa, Chordata, Mammalia, Diprotodontia, Phascolarctidae. The record is from RefSeq and is a predicted model, not a curated record.
UGGGUGCAAAGGAUUGAUUGUUUCUCCAGUGCCUUCAUCUCUCUGUCUUCUUGUCGCAGACCUCUAUCUGCCUCCCAUCCCCCGUCAAUUCCGUUAUGUAAUGCAGCAAGUAAAUGCUAACCAGGUUCAGCUAAAUGCAGAAGGAUUUAAACCAUCUUGGCUCUCACUCUGCGGGGUGGGGGAGGGGAGAGGGAGCUGAGCUGAGCUGAGCUGGCUUAGUGCUUGGUUGUGGAGGGCGGCGUGCAUUCAUCCCCUAAUUUAUUUAACAACCUGGGAUGUCCUCCUUGACCCCCCACUCUCUAACACCUCUCUGUCCCAUAUCCGGUCUGUUGUCAAGAUCUGUCGAUUUCACCUUUGUAAGAGCUCCCCAAUACGCUCCGUUCUUUCCUCUGAUAUUGCCACCACCCUGGUGCACCCCAUCGCCUUAUACUUGGACGAUUGCAAUAGCCUCGGACUCAGGUGUCUCCCCACUCCAAGGGAUCUUUCUGAAGCACAGGUGAAGACUAGGAGCUGAGGUCCUUGGAUCAGGCCUUGGAACCCUGCCUCUUCUGCUGACCCAGUGGGCUCUCGCCUGUAAAACCUUAGUUCCUGAGGAACAUCUUUUUGUCUGAUUAAUUGAUUAUCUCAUCUGCCACAAGAGAGGCUUGCCAGCUAGACUGCAACAGCCACUAAUAGGAGAUAUUCUAGGCAAUAAGGUUACUGCACAGAAUUGCCUUGGCCUCAGGGUCCUUGUCCCCUCAUAAGACUCUACAUACCCUGGAGAAGUAGCUCAAGUGCCCCUCAGCUGGUGGACUUCUGUUUCACAGCUCUGAAUUCUCUCCCUCCUUCCACCCCUCCCCCAC